UACGAAGGGGGCGAGCGUUGUUCGGAAUUACUGGGCGUAAAGGGCGCGUAGGCGGCCGAGCAAGUUAGAUGUGAAAGUCCUGGGCUUAACCUGGGGACUGCAUUUGAUACUGCUUGGCUUGAAUUCGGGAGAGGAUAGCGGAAUUCCCAGUGUAGAGGUGAAAUUCGUAGAUAUUGGGAGGAACACCGGUGGCGAAGGCGGCUAUCUGGACCGACAUUGACGCUGAGGCGCGAAAGCGUGGGGAGCAAACAGG
Molecule: ribosomal RNA, 253 nt
Filed under: uncultured bacterium
Lineage: Bacteria
Description: partial 16S ribosomal RNA
Rfam family: Bacterial small subunit ribosomal RNA
Source: RNAcentral